Long non-coding RNA from Bubalus bubalis (water buffalo), 1378 nucleotides. RefSeq lists it as uncharacterized. The transcript is spliced from 2 exons. The record is from RefSeq and is a predicted model, not a curated record. Lineage: Eukaryota; Metazoa; Chordata; Mammalia; Artiodactyla; Bovidae.
CUAGAAUUUCUUACCAUUGAAGCAGAGUCCUAAGACAAGUCAGGAUUUGUGCAGAGGAGCUUAAUUAAUGAAUUUUGAAACACAUAUUUUUAGAAAGGGUCGGGGUGACAGUGCCAUGUUCAUUUAAAAUUGGGGCACCUAGCAUUCAAGCCUGCGAUGGUACUUCUGGAUGAGUCCCUGGGGUCAAGCCAAUCAGUGUAAGUGUCUGGGGAAGAAUGACCCUCAAUGGGACAGUUGUGGACAUGAGCAGCUGUACUCUCUGUCUGUGGGUCCCUGGCUUUGUGUUCCCCUCUGCAAGGGGUGGUGUGCCCUCUGAAGUUUGGCGUGAUUAAAGGGGGGUUGAUGUCAGCCCUUGAAACCCUGUGUCUGUUGGAAUCAAUGUUACAAAGGGGCAUCUGGAGGGCCCAGGCUGGUGCCGAAGGUGGUCGUGAACAGGCUGGGGCUAUAGUACUGUACAUUCACAGUGGAAAACAGUCAAACCAAAAUUGAAACUAAAAUAAGACAUUUGGGAAGGGAGAAAUUAAACAGAGAAGAGAGAGGAAACAGGUGGAGAGUUCUGUGAAAGUUUUGAAGAUUUUUAGGUUCUUUCUGGUUUUAUUUCCCUCUCUAUAGAAUGGCAUUGUUUUUUUUCUUCUACAUCUAAUUGCCCUUCUGAAGGGACCUGUCUUGAUUUAAGGCCGUUGUUUAUAUACCUGUAUGGGGCUCACAGGUGAUUUUGGUCAGGUGGUUCUUUCUUUUUAGUCUUUUAUUUCACAAAAGGCAGAGAAAGAGGCAAAGAGGAGAAGAGGUAGUGAGGCACGGAUUAGAGGAUAAGACGAAACCGGCAGAGGCCGCUGCCUCUUGGAGAGGCCUGGAGAGUCGGGGUGUCUGACAGAGAAGGAGGGUCCCAGCAGGAAGUUACCAAGCUGUUCCUGGUGGAGAUGGAGGAACUGGCAGUUCUGGUCCUUUUUGGUGGAAGAAAGGAGGUGCUGGGGUUCGGUGGAUCUGGUGCUGCUGUUUUGAGUGCCAUGAGAACAUGCUUAGGCCAGCCUGCUGGAGGAUCAGAGACAUGUGCAACAGAGCACAGCUGCUCCAGCUGAGGCCAGCCUAGAUCAGUCAAGAGCCAGCCAACACCCAGGCCUGUGAGUUAAGUCCAUCCAAGACCAGUGGAUUCACCCUGCAGCUGGCCUGGGACAUGUGAGCAGUGGAGUAAUUGUGGAAUACUGCUAUUGUUUAUUAUGCAGUAUUAAUAUGGCAAUAGCUAUCAGAGCAAUACAAUCCCUAAGGGUUAUUUUGCCUCUAAAAUGUUGACAUUAUGUAACUUUUGGUAUGUCUGCUCUCUGUACUGUGGCUAGCUGUACUUCUUCCACUGCACUUAAUAAACACAAAUUUUAAGAUC